Molecule: ribosomal RNA, 445 nt
Filed under: uncultured bacterium
Lineage: Bacteria
Description: partial 16S ribosomal RNA
Rfam family: Bacterial small subunit ribosomal RNA
Source: RNAcentral
GUGAGGAAUAUUGCACAAUGGAGGCAACUCUGACGCAGCCAUGCCGCGUGCAGGAAGAAGGCGCUACGCGUUGUAAACUGCUUUUAACCGGGAAGAAACCCCAGGACGUGUCCUGGGUUGACGGUACCGGAGGAAUAAGCACCGGCUAACUUCGUGCCAGCAGCCGCGGUAAUACGAAGGGUGCAAGCGUUAUCCGGAUUCAUUGGGUUUAAAGGGUGCGUAGGCGGAGCGUUAAGUCAGUGGUGAAAUCCUGCAGCUUAACUGUAGACUUGCCAUUGAUACUGGCGCUCUUGAGUGCGCUUGAAGUGGGCGGAAUGUGCCGUGUAGCGGUGAAAUGCUUAGAUAUGGCACAGAACACCAAUUGCGAAGGCAGCUCACUAAGGCGAUACUGACGCUGAGGCACGAAAGCGUGGGGAUCGAACAGGAUUAGAAACCCGUGUAGUCC